UAGGAGGCGGGGUGGCCACAAUUUCGCGCCAAGCUCGGCGGGCCGAAUCCCGGUUUGGUGAGCUAGCUGGGAGGUGUUUACAGCCGCUGUCAUGGUUCGUACGCUAAACUGCAUCGCCGCUGUGUCCCAGAACAUGGGCAUCGGCAAGAACGGGGACCUGCCGUGGCCCCCGCUCAGGAACGAAUUCAAGUUUUUCCAAAGAAUGACCACAACUUCCUCAGUAGAAGGUAA
Molecule: non-coding RNA, 231 nt
Organism: Callorhinus ursinus (northern fur seal)
Lineage: Eukaryota; Metazoa; Chordata; Mammalia; Carnivora; Otariidae
Source: RefSeq, a predicted model, not a curated record